UUUCCGUAGGUGAACCUGCGGAAGGAUCAUUCAUAAUAAAGUGUUUUAUGGCACUUUUUAAAAAUCCAUAUCCACCUUGUGUGCAAUGUUAGAUCUCGUCAAUCUUGGCGAGAUUUUUAUACAUCAACUCUUUCUUUAACUAAUUUGUCUGAAAAAUAUUACGAAUACUUAAUUCAAAAUACAACUUUCAACAACGGAUCUCUUGGCUCUC
Molecule: unclassified non-coding RNA, 211 nt
Filed under: plant metagenome
Description: partial contains small subunit ribosomal RNA, internal transcribed spacer 1, and 5.8S ribosomal RNA
Source: RNAcentral